AUUGAACGCUGGCGGCAUGCCUUACACAUGCAAGUCGAACGGUAACAGGUCUUCGGAUGCUGACGAGUGGCGAACGGGUGCGUAAUACAUCGGAACGUGCCCGAUCGUGGGGGGUAACGAGGCGAAAGCUUUGCUAAUACCGCAUACGAUCUACGGAUGAAAGCGGGGGAUCUUCGGACCUCGAGAGGGAGGAGCGGCCGCUGGCAGAUUAGGUAGUUGGUGGGAUAAAAGCUUACCAAGCCGACGAUCUGUAGCUGGUCUGAGAGGAUGAUCAGCCACACUGGGACUGAGACACGGCCCAGACUCCUACGGGAGGCAGCAGUGGGGAAUUUUGGACAAUGGGCGAAAGCCUGAUCCAGCCAUGCCGCGUGCAGGAUGAAGGCCUUUGGGUUGUAAACUGCUUUUGUACGGAACGAAAAGCCUCUUUCUAAUAAAGAGGGGUCAUGACGGUACCGUAAGAAUAAGCACCGGCUAACUACGUG
This 482-nucleotide ribosomal RNA is filed under the name uncultured bacterium. RNAcentral describes it as "partial 16S ribosomal RNA". It matches the Rfam family "Bacterial small subunit ribosomal RNA", at positions 30 to 507 of the family's 1533-position model. The record is from RNAcentral.